This 281-nucleotide ribosomal RNA is filed under the name Staphylococcus aureus subsp. aureus IS-91. RNAcentral's name for it is "partial 16S ribosomal RNA". It matches the Rfam family "Bacterial small subunit ribosomal RNA", at positions 1 to 270 of the family's 1533-position model. Lineage: Bacteria; Bacillati; Bacillota; Bacilli; Caryophanales; Staphylococcaceae. The record is from RNAcentral.
UUUUAUGGAGAGUUUGAUCCUGGCUCAGGAUGAACGCUGGCGGCGUGCCUAAUACAUGCAAGUCGAGCGAACGGACGAGAAGCUUGCUUCUCUGAUGUUAGCGGCGGACGGGUGAGUAACACGUGGAUAACCUACCUAUAAGACUGGGAUAACUUCGGGAAACCGGAGCUAAUACCGGAUAAUAUUUUGAACCGCAUGGUUCAAAAGUGAAAGACGGUCUUGCUGUCACUUAUAGAUGGAUCCGCGCUGCAUUAGCUAGUUGGUAAGGUAACGGNUUACCA